AUACGUAUGUCGCAAGCGUUAUCCGGAUUUAUUGGGCGUAAAGCGCGUCUAGGCGGCUUAGUAAGUCUGAUGUGAAAAUGCGGGGCUCAACCCCGUAUUGCGUUGGAAACUGCUAAACUAGAGUACUGGAGAGGUAGGCGGAACUACAAGUGUAGAGGUGAAAUUCGUAGAUAUUUGUAGGGAUGCCAAUGGGGAAGCCAGCCUACUGGACAGAUACUGACGCUAAAGCGCGAAAGCGUGGGUAGCAAACAGGAUUAGAUACCCUGGUAGUCCACGCCGUAAACGAUGAUUACUAGGUGUUGGGGGUCGAACCUCAGCGCCCAAGCUAACGCGAUAAGUAAUCCGCCUGGGGAGUACGUACGCAAGUAUGAAACUCAAAGGAAUUGACGGGG
This 392-nucleotide ribosomal RNA is filed under the name uncultured bacterium. Its description in RNAcentral is "partial 16S ribosomal RNA". It matches the Rfam family "Bacterial small subunit ribosomal RNA", at positions 523 to 918 of the family's 1533-position model. The record is from RNAcentral.